This 69-nucleotide transfer RNA is filed under the name Ovis aries (sheep). It matches the Rfam family "tRNA". Rfam says of the family: Transfer RNA (tRNA) molecules are approximately 80 nucleotides in length. Their secondary structure includes four short double-helical elements and three loops (D, anti-codon, and T loops). The record is from Rfam by way of RNAcentral. Lineage: Eukaryota; Metazoa; Chordata; Mammalia; Artiodactyla; Bovidae.
CCUGGUGGCUCAGACGGUAAGGCAUCUGCCUACAAUGCAGGAGACCCAGGUUCAAUCCCUGGGUCAGGA